ACUCCUACGGGAGGCAGCAGUGGGGAAUAUUGGACAAUGGGGGCAACCCUGAUCCAGCAAUGCCGCGUGUGUGAAGAAGGCCUUCGGGUUGUAAAGCACUUUCAGUGAAGAAGAAAGUGAGGCUUUAAUAGAGCCUGACUGUGACGGUAUUCACAGAAGCAGCACCGGCAAACUCUGUGCCAGCAGCCGCGGUAAUACAGAGGGUGCAAGCGUUAAUCGGAUUGACUGGGCGUAAAGGGCGCGUAGGCGGUUAAAUAAGUGCGUUGUAAAAGGCUCGGGCUUAACCUGGGCAUGUCAAUGUAGACUGUAUAACUGGAGUGAGAGAGAGGUUAUGGGAAUUUCCGGAGGAGCGGUGAAAUGCGUAGAUUUCGGAAGGAACAUCAGUGGCGAAGGCGAAGUAACUGGCUCUUAACUGACGCUGAGGCGCGAAGGCGU
Molecule: ribosomal RNA, 435 nt
Filed under: uncultured bacterium
Lineage: Bacteria
Description: bacterial SSU rRNA
Rfam family: Bacterial small subunit ribosomal RNA
Source: RNAcentral